AGGACGAACGCUGGCGGCGUGCCUAACAUAUGCAAGUCGAACGCGCUCCAUUCGGUAGCAAUACUGAUGAAGAGCGAGUGGCGAACGGGUGAGUAGCACGUGAGCAACCUGCCCCGAAGACUGGGACAACACCGGGAAACCGGUGCUAAUACCGGAUAUCCCUAUCGGACCGCAUGAUCUGAUAAGGAAAUGGAUUCCGCUUCGGGAGGGGCUCGCGGCCUAUCAGCUAGUUGGUGGGGUAACGGCCCACCAAGGCAUCGACGGGUAGCUGGUCUGAGAGGACGAUCAGCCACACUGGGACUGAGACACGGCCCAGACUCCUACGGGAGGCAGCAGUGGGGAAUCUUGCGCAAUGGGCGAAAGCCUGACGCAGCAACGCCGCGUGGAGGACGAAGGCUUUCUGAGUUGUAAACUCCUUUCAGCAGGGACGAUAGUGACGGUACCUGCAGAAGAAGCACCGGCAACUACGUGCCAGCAGCCGCGGUAA
This 487-nucleotide ribosomal RNA is filed under the name uncultured bacterium. RNAcentral describes it as "SSU rRNA". It matches the Rfam family "Bacterial small subunit ribosomal RNA", at positions 26 to 523 of the family's 1533-position model. The record is from RNAcentral.